Non-coding RNA from Coturnix japonica (Japanese quail), 1411 nucleotides. NCBI's taxonomy places the organism in Eukaryota, Metazoa, Chordata, Aves, Galliformes, Phasianidae. The record is from RefSeq and is a predicted model, not a curated record.
UUGCUGACCUCCAGAGGUCCUUCCAAUCCCACUAUUUCUGUGAUUCUGUUUCUGUGAACUAUUUACUCAUAUUUUCCAGCAGAUUAUAUAGCCUGACUUCUUUAAAGAGAAUGAGCAUCUUUUUAAGGAGAGGAAGAUCAGUGGGCAGACGAAAGAGAAAGACAAGUCCCAUAUGAUGCCGACAGUGCUGAAUUGCAGCAAAGGUGCCUGUGUUUCUGUCUCUACUGAAGUACCAUACUAUGGAGUCCUACAGCAGUAUAGGGCCACAGAGGAUACAUGGCUUUGUAAGAGCUGGCCUGUAAAAGAGGAAUGCUCCUGCAUUCUCACAGCCAACUUCUCUGGAGGAAAAAAAAAAAAAAGCAUGAGAAGAGUAUGUGCAACCACCAUAGUAGGGAGCUACUAAUAAAGUAAGAAUCAGAACUUCAGCCAUGAACUUGUGAGUUUCAGCAUGUCCACUUAUGUGCUCUUUAUAUAGACUACAUCUGUUCACAAGGUCAGGAUCUCUAUUAAGAGAAUGAUGAAUUUAAACUAAAAAAGAACUUUAAUAUAUUUCCAUCUCAGACUGGUUUUUAGGUCAGCAAAACUACUACUUUGCUUCUUCUGUCUUACGUUGUUGUAUAAUUUUAGCAUCUCAGAAAUGCUGUAGAAUGAUGACAGUGAAACCUGAAUUGGAAAAAUUAGGACUUGUUGCAGGAUCUGUAGAUGAAGAUGCUAGUAGCUCCCCAGCAUAGUUAUUGACUCUACACUGAACCUGCAAAAAAAUUACAUGCUAUAAUUCUUUAUCAUUUUUUUUUAACCUGUUAAGGACUUGAAAUGAGUUGAGACAGAAGAUUUAGGCUGCUUAAGUUAUUCAUGUAUAACUUCAUAAGUCACAAUACAUAAAUCUUGUGGGCUUUUUUUCCUAUACAGGUGCAUGUGUGUGUUUCUAACAGAAUUGUGGGCUGGAGUUACUGUAAAAAUAUUUGUGUACUCACAUAUAAUUAGAGAACAGUUAGUUUGUUCAAUAGUUUGAAAUUCUUCGAGUCAUUUCUAAGGUGCUCUUGUCUGAAAUUACCAUUGGAAAUAGGAUGCCUGUACAUUUUCCAGAAUAGAGAUCCAGCUGUUGGGCAGUAAGUGCUUUAUGAAUUGUGAGGAAAAUAAAAAUAAUUAUAUAGAAAUCAUUAGAGGGAUUUACAGCAUUUAUUUUUUCCUCACAAAUUUAAUUCAUCUCAGCAAGCUUUUGCACAAAAGCUUCUGAAGUUUACAUAUUGGCAGUGUCCUUGAGAGCUACUGAGAAGUCACCCACUCAUGGAAAAGGAUCUGCAUCUUGGUAAUGUAUUCACGUUCUCAGCAGAACAUGGCAAUUAACAACUAAUCUCAGCAUCUACUUUAAUGAUAUUCUGAAAGAAGAAACAAAAUCCUUACCCCAAAA